GCUGGCGGAAGGAGCCGGCGGCUUUUCGGCGCCCGGUAGUGACCGGCAGUCCCCGGGUAGCCAGGGUGUCUGGGUGUUGGGACCGCUUAGUCGCGAGACCCCAGCAAACCUCUUGGCGUCUCUGAGCCUCAGCUUUUGCUUCUGUAGAAUAGGGUGUACUCAUCGUACAUUUCAUGGGAAUACCUAACGCAGUCAUUUGGAUGGUCCUGUGAGGUAGAAAACAUUGUCCAACGUUCUACGCGAGGAAAUGUGGCUGGGCCACAGGACUGGACUCCCCAGUCCCGCUUUUGCCUGAAGACUUCGAGGGACGCAGUUGGAGCGCAAGGCUCCUGCUUGGCGGUGAGGCAGAGGGCUAACGACCUUCCUUCUCCUAAAUUCACUGAUGCGGCGGCAAGAAUGGCACCGCCUCGUAGAGCUACCGCAUUUCCCAAACUCGUAGUCUCAGGACCACUUUAUACUCAUAAAAAUGAGGGCCCCAAGCUUUUGCUAAUGUGGGUUACAGCUAUCGAUGUUACCACAUUCUAAGUUAAAAUGCUUUAAAGUUUUUUGUUGUUUCGUUUAAAAGUAAACAGCCGGGCGCGGUAGCUCACGCCUGUAAUCCCAGCACUUUGGGAGGCUGAGGCGGGCGUAUCACCUGAGGUCAGGAGUUUGAGACCAGCCUGGCCAACAUGGUGAAACCCUGUCUCUACUAAAAAUACAAAAAUGAGCCAGGUAUGGUGGCGCAGGCCUGUAAUCCCAGCUACUCCGGAGGCUGAGGCAAGAGAAUCAUUUGAACCCAGGAGGCGGAGGUUGCGGCAACAGCACCUGGGCAGACCAUGCCAUUUCCCCUCCUGAACUCGGGUGCUUUGAAAGAAGUAUAGGGGGCCGGUCGCGGUGGCUCCCGCCUGUAAUCCCAGCACUUUGGGAGGCCGAGAUGGCCGGAUCACCUGAGGCUAGAAGUUCAAGACCAGCCUGGCCAACAUGGUGAAACCCCGUCUCUACUAAAAAUACAAAAAUUAGUUGGAUGUGGUGGCGUGUGCCUGUAAUCUCAGCUACUUGGGAGGCUGAAGCUGGAGAACUGCAUCAAUCCAGGAGGUGGGGCUGCAGUGAGCUGAGAUCCUGCCACUGCACUCCAGCCUGGGUGACAGCAAGACUCCGUCUCAAAAAGAAAAAAGAAACAAAUAUGGGGACGAACAGUGGGAAUGCAGAGGAGAGGGUUCCCAUCUGAGGAGGCUGGAAGAAAAGAAGGCUGGAAAAGAACCAUGAGAAACACAUGUCUGUCGUUUAAGCUAUACAGCCUAUGGUAUUUUGUCAUGGCAGUCUGAGCCAAGAGAGGGAGCAAUUUAAUUAGAUGUGUUAUGCUCUUCUAUCUAGGUCCCAUAUAGAUUGCCAACACUGUUAGUGCUUUCUCCUUUUGUGUUAAAAAGGAAAGAUAGAGGAAGGGAGGGAAGAAGGAAGGAUGGAGAAGAGAACAGAAAAGUAAAAUGAAAAUGUCUUCUAACCAUAUUGAAAAGCUAUCCAGGGCCGGGCACGGUGGCUCACGCCUGUAAUCCCAGCACUGUGGGAGGAUGAGGCGGGCGGAUCACAAGGUCAGGAGAUCGAGACCAUCCUGGCCAAUAUGGUGAAACCCUGUCUCUACUAAAAAUACAAAAAUUAGCCGGGCGUGGUGGCAGGCACCUGUAGUCCCAGCUACUUGGGAGGCUGAGGCAGGAGAAUAGCUUGAACCCAGGAGGCAGAGGUUACAGUGAGCUGAGAUUGUGCCACUGCACUCCAACCUGGGCGAUAGAGUGAGACUCCGUCUGGAAAAAAAAGAAAAAGAAAAGUAUCCAGAAACAGGGUGGAAAAGCAUUGGUAAUUGUGGAGUACCAAGUAAUGAGUUCUUACUCUACUCUUGCUAUUUUUAUGUGUGUUCGGAAUUUUCCUUACUAAGAAAGUAUGUGAUACCAUGCGUUGCCACGAUAUGGCAUGGCAUGAUGAGAAGGCACUUCACCUCUGUGGCGUUUCCCCCCAACCCAUAAGCCCUUUCUAAUCAUUAGAAAACAUUAAACAAACCCAAAUUGAGGGACAAUUCACACAGUUCACACAGUUCAUACUGAGACACGGACCAGGAGAAGGAAGGAUCUGGGGGAACGGGAGACUGACCCAGUCUAACCAGGACUUCAAAACUGCCAUGGUCAUGGAAGACAAGGAUAAACUGAAGAAGUGUCACAGAUCAGGGAACCCUAAGGAGACAUGAUGACUCAAUGCAAUGUGGGAUCUUGGAUUGGAUCCUGGAACAGAAACAGACAUUGAUGGGAAAACAGGUAAAAUCCAAAUAAAACCUAAAGUUUAGUUAAUAGUAGUGUACUAAUGUAAGUUGUUUUGUUUGGGCAUGUGCCAGUUAUGUGUAUUCACUUUGGGGGCGGCUGGUGAAGAGCACAUAGGAACUCUGUACUACCUUUACAACAUUUGUGUAAAUCUAAUCCCAAAAUAAAAAGUUCAUUUACAGAAAAAGA
This 2474-nucleotide long non-coding RNA is filed under the name Homo sapiens (human). RNAcentral's name for it is "HSALNT0353689". Lineage: Eukaryota; Metazoa; Chordata; Mammalia; Primates; Hominidae. The record is from RNAcentral.